Molecule: antisense RNA, 1339 nt
Filed under: Pan troglodytes (chimpanzee)
Lineage: Eukaryota; Metazoa; Chordata; Mammalia; Primates; Hominidae
Rfam family: CDKN2B antisense RNA 1 convserved region 3 (bases 379-522)
Source: RNAcentral
AGCUACAUCCGUCACCUGACACGGCCCUACCAGGAACAGCCGCGCUCCCGCGGAUUCUGGUGCUGCUCGCGUCCCCGCUCCCCUAUUCCCCUUAUUUUAUUCCUGGCUCCCCUCUUCGAAAGUCUUCCAUUCUUCAAACUAGAUUAUUUAAAAAUGAAAAAGGAAGAAAGGAAAGCGAGGUCAUCUCAUUGCUCUAUCCGCCAAUCAGGAGGCUGAAUGUCAGUUUUGAACUAAAAGCCGCUCCGCUCCUCUUCUAGAUUUGGAAAACAAGCGAAAUUAAACUAAACCGCUGCACGCCUCUGACGCGACAUCUGGACACGGCGCGGCGCUGGCGCUGCCGGAGCUGUCGGCCCGGCCUGGCGCCGGACUAGUGUCCCUUUUGAUGAGAAGAAUAAGCCUCAUUGUGAUUCAACAGCAGAGAUCAAAGAAAAGACUUCUGUUUUCUGGCCACCAGAUAUAUGUUAUCUGUGCUUAAAGAAUUGAAAAACACACAUCAAAGGAGAAUUCUCUUGGAAAGAGAGGGUUCAAGCAUCACUGUUAGGUGUGCUGGAAUCCUUUCCCGAGUCAGUACUGCUUUCUAGAAGAAAACCGGGGAGAUCUAUUUGGAAUGUAUCUAACUCCAAAGGAACCAUCAGAGGUAACAGGUGGAGAACUUCAGUUGAGGAAGUGGCAGGAAUUUGGGAAUGAGGAGCACAGUGAUUAAACUGGGGCCAUUCAUAUGAGAGUUUAAGAACUCAGACCAGUGACUUAGAUUGGCUUCUCUCACAUGGCAAGAAACAUUGCUGCUAGCACUUCCCGAGUUCUAUGUUCUACAACAUCCACCACUGGAUCUUAACAUAGACGUAAGAUCAAAUGUAAUAGCAUGUCAAACAAUGUGUAACUCCAGUUAUACAAACAUUACUGUAUCUCAUUGGGGAUACGAAGCUCUACACACUUGAAGAUGGUGAAGGAAUAUAAAAAUCUAUGUGUCUCACAGUCCAGACUUGGAGUACAAGUAAUAAGAAGAAUAAAACUUAAUCCCUCAAGUAGAUUCACCAUAAGUUAGCUCAGAGCAAUUCCAGUGCAAGUAUGGUCUGUGAUCCAAUAGUAUCUUACAGACAGCAAGUUGAACAUUGUGGGAUGCAUAAGCUAUUGAGGCCUUUGCAGCUUUCUGCUACAUGGAGGCUACGGCCAGAGUCAACAUUUAUGCUUUGCAGCACACUGGUCAGCUGUUUUUGCAAAUCAGAUUAAAUAAUUUUUAAAUGAGGCUGAGAGCAUGGGAGAUACUAAUGUGUGUUUCCUUGUGAGCUACUGCAUAAGUUAGGAAAUUGAAAUACAGAAAGAUGAAAAGUGAUUUGCC